Molecule: ribosomal RNA, 993 nt
Filed under: Staphylococcus aureus
Lineage: Bacteria; Bacillati; Bacillota; Bacilli; Caryophanales; Staphylococcaceae
Description: partial 23S ribosomal RNA
Rfam family: Bacterial large subunit ribosomal RNA
Source: RNAcentral
CACUGCCGAGAAAAGCCUCUAGAUAGAAAAUAGGUGCCCGUACCGCAAACCGACACAGGUAGUCAAGAUGAGAAUUCUAAGGUGAGCGAGCGAACUCUCGUUAAGGAACUCGGCAAAAUGACCCCGUAACUUCGGGAGAAGGGGUGCUCUUUAGGGUUAACGCCCAGAAGAGCCGCAGUGAAUAGGCCCAAGCGACUGUUUAUCAAAAACACAGGUCUCUGCUAAACCGUAAGGUGAUGUAUAGGGGCUGACGCCUGCCCGGUGCUGGAAGGUUAAGAGGAGUGGUUAGCUUCUGCGAAGCUACGAAUCGAAGCCCCAGUAAACGGCGGCCGUAACUAUAACGGUCCUAAGGUAGCGAAAUUCCUUGUCGGGUAAGUUCCGACCCGCACGAAAGGCGUAACGAUUUGGGCACUGUCUCAACGAGAGACUCGGUGAAAUCAUAGUACCUGUGAAGAUGCAGGUUACCCGCGACAGGACGGAAAGACCCCGUGGAGCUUUACUGUAGCCUGAUAUUGAAAUUCGGCACAGCUUGUACAGGAUAGGUAGGAGCCUUUGAAACGUGAGCGCUAGCUUACGUGGAGGCGCUGGUGGGAUACUACCCUAGCUGUGUUGGCUUUCUAACCCGCACCACUUAUCGUGGUGGGAGACAGUGUCAGGCGGGCAGUUUGACUGGGGCGGUCGCCUCCUAAAAGGUAACGGAGGCGCUCAAAGGUUCCCUCAGAAUGGUUGGAAAUCAUUCAUAGAGUGUAAAGGCAUAAGGGAGCUUGACUGCGAGACCUACAAGUCGAGCAGGGUCGAAAGACGGACUUAGUGAUCCGGUGGUUCCGCAUGGAAGGGCCAUCGCUCAACGGAUAAAAGCUACCCCGGGGAUAACAGGCUUAUCUCCCCCAAGAGUUCACAUCGACGGGGAGGUUUGGCACCUCGAUGUCGGCUCAUCGCAUCCUGGGGCUGUAGUCGGUCCCAAGGGUUGGGCUGUUCGCCCAUUAAAGCGGU